Molecule: long non-coding RNA, 408 nt
Organism: Galleria mellonella (greater wax moth)
Lineage: Eukaryota; Metazoa; Arthropoda; Insecta; Lepidoptera; Pyralidae
Exons: 2
Source: RefSeq, a predicted model, not a curated record
CGAGAUUUUUACGAAGAGUUCGAAGGUUUAUUUAAGCGAUAUGCAAAGGAAGAAAGUUCGUAAUACAUCUAUAUUUUUUUUAUAUAAAAAGAUGAAGAGGAAGACCGAGGAUUAACUACAUGGGACAGAUAAAGGAAACACUAGGCGUCAUGUUGUAUAGGGAGAUAAAGGAUAUGGCCUGGGAUAGAGCUGGCUGGAGGAAGAUGCAUGAAUUAGUUGCACCGACAAGAGGAAACUCUUAAAUGAAAAUGAAUGAUAGUUUAUAUUUUUACUUAUCCCAAUAAUGAAGUACCAUAUUCAUGAUUCACUGUUUAUCCCAAAGGUUGAUUGGUAGAGAAUGAUACUAGCAUUGAGUGGGCCUAUUGUACCAUAUUUUCUUUUGGUCAAUAAAGUUAUUUAAAAUUAAAA